CGGAGGAUCCAAGCGUUAUCCGGAAUCAUUGGGUUUAAAGGGUCCGUAGGCGGUUUUGUAAGUCAGUGGUGAAAGCCCAUCGCUCAACGGUGGAACGGCCAUUGAUACUGCAAGACUUGAAUUAUUGGGAAGUAACUAGAAUAUGUAGUGUAGCGGUGAAAUGCUUAGAGAUUACAUGGAAUACCAAUUGCGAAGGCAGGUUACUACCAAUAUAUUGACGCUGAUGGACGAAAGCGUGGGGAGCGAACAGGAUUAGAUACCCUGGUAGUCCACGCCGUAAACGAUGGAGUACUAGCUGUUCGGAGCAAUCUGAGUGGCUAAGCGAAAGUGAUAAGUAUCCCACCUGGGGAGUACGUUCGCAAGAAUG
RNAcentral lists this ribosomal RNA (367 nucleotides) under uncultured organism. Its description in RNAcentral is "bacterial SSU rRNA". It matches the Rfam family "Bacterial small subunit ribosomal RNA", at positions 526 to 896 of the family's 1533-position model. The record is from RNAcentral.